GAAACGCGAUAGUUAAUGUGAAUUGCAGAAUUCAGUGAAUCAUCGAGUCUUUGAACGCACAUUGCGCCCAUAGGUAUUCCUUUGGGCAUGUCUGUUUGAGCGUCAUUACAACCCUCAGCUAACCGCUGGUUUUGAACCUGAACGGGUGACACCGCGCCGGUUUUAAAGUUGUAAGCUCUGCUGGCCGCUCUGCCCAACCAGAACAUAGUAAGCACUACUUGUCCGGGUGAAGCUGAACGGUACGGCCUGAACAAAGCCUACCCACUCUCAAGGUUUGACCUCAGAUCAGACAAGGAUACCCGCUGAACUUAAGC
This 314-nucleotide unclassified non-coding RNA is filed under the name plant metagenome. RNAcentral describes it as "partial contains 5.8S ribosomal RNA, internal transcribed spacer 2, and large subunit ribosomal RNA". The stretch from base 1 to 105 matches the Rfam family "5.8S ribosomal RNA", at positions 50 to 154 of the family's 154-position model. The record is from RNAcentral.